This 233-nucleotide unclassified non-coding RNA is filed under the name Basidiomycota sp. RNAcentral's name for it is "partial contains small subunit ribosomal RNA, internal transcribed spacer 1, and 5.8S ribosomal RNA". The stretch from base 1 to 47 matches the Rfam family "Eukaryotic small subunit ribosomal RNA", at positions 1785 to 1831 of the family's 1831-position model. The record is from RNAcentral. Lineage: Eukaryota; Fungi; Basidiomycota.
AAAGUCGUAACAAGGUUUCCGUAGGUGAACCUGCGGAAGGAUCAUUAUUGAAUCCAAAGGAUGUUGCUGGUCUCUCCCGAGACAUGUGCACUCCGCCUUUCAAUUCACCUGUGAACUUAUUGUAGGCCCUAGUGGUCUAUGUUUUUACACACCCAAUAGUUUGUAGAAUGUCUAAUAGUAGGCCUUUUGGUCGAAACUUAAUACAACUUUCAACAAUGGAUCUCUUGGUUCUC